UACGUAGGGUGCGAGCGUUAAUCGGAAUUACUGGGCGUAAAGUGUGCGCAGGCGGCCGCGCAAGUCGAGUGUGAAAGCCCCGGGCUUAACUUGGGAAUUGCGCUCGAAACCACGUGGCUGGAGUGUGGCAGAGGAAGGUGGAAUUCCACGUGUAGCGGUGAAAUGCGUAGAGAUGUGGAGGAACACCAAUGGCGAAGGCAGCCUUCUGGGCCAACACUGACGCUCAUGCACGAAAGCGUGGGGAGCAAACAGG
This 253-nucleotide ribosomal RNA is filed under the name uncultured bacterium. RNAcentral's name for it is "partial 16S ribosomal RNA". It matches the Rfam family "Bacterial small subunit ribosomal RNA", at positions 524 to 776 of the family's 1533-position model. The record is from RNAcentral.